GACUUAAAACUCCAUCUUGGCCAAGGUUUUCGGACAUCAUCAAGAAUAAAAACCCGGGGACGUUUAAAGGGAGUACGCCCCCACCCCGCAACCGAUAGUGGUGCCACUUUGCGACUACUGAAUUGACUACAUAAAGUGUAUCCUAAUUAUAUCCAACCCAAUAUGGUGGACCGAGGCUGGAUUAUUGGAUGGCUGUCGUUGUUAACCAGCAUUUUGCUGGUGAACUCGGACGAAAGUCAAGUCACAGACAAAGUCAUCGUUGGUGCUCGAAUUGAGAGUUGCAGUGGAUGACGUUUGAACUCUCUUCCAGAAGUGAAGAGGUUCAUUACAGAAGAGUUCUCGUAUUAUGAGAAUGCUGUAUUCAUCAACAAAGCUGGGGAACCUCCAUUUCUUAUUCUUUUAAACAAGUCUGGUCAGCAAGUGGAGCGUCAAGCCUUGGCUGAAAUGCAGGGAGAAGAAAUCCAUGCUCUGCUCCAAUCCCAUGGGCUUGUGCGACGUGACCUCGACAAGCGCCCCAAGCUGCCCGGCUGGGACAAUAUGUUCAUGGAUGAAGACGAUUUCGUCGACCCUUCUGGAGGCGAACCUGAAGACUAUGAUGGCGAUGAAAUUCCAGAAGUACCAGACCAUGAGGAGUUAUAAGCUUUAGACUUUUGAAAUUAAAUUGAUCUACCAUUGUGCAUUUAAGGACAAACUCUGAAACGUAUAUUUUAACCAUAUGAGAUUGUAAUAUCCUAAGAAGUGCCGUACGAUGGUUGAUCUGUGCGAUAGAUAUUACAUGUACCUUGAUUUACAUUAUCAAGGAUGGCAUAGUUUUAUAGCAAGAAUUCCACCUCAAAACGUGCAUUUCUUACAGAGUUGCAGUGCUGCAUGUAGCAUGUUACGAUCUCAUAUGGUGUCAAUAAACCUUUGCGUUGGUUACACCUCGAUGACCAAACAGCAGAAAUCCUUUUCAAUGAUAGAUCAGUCUUCACGAGUAUUUCCUAUUUUCUACAAUCCAACAGUGGACUGUGCCUUGACAGUAUUCUUUCUUUUUCUCUGGACAUGGCCGUAUGACGGUGACAUCCGAAAUUUUAAGGGUGCUGCUUGAUGUUUUGCCUGGGACCAGUUUGAAAGAAUGAAUCGUGUAGGGUUUCAGCCUCUCCUUGGAUUUUAUUUGGAAUACCUUUCUCACCAGGUGCCAGUUUGUUAUAAGAUUAGACUAGCAGAGCUGUCGACACUAGAACAAAUGAUUUCCACUGAUGCCGAAUGCUGUUAGACUGUAAUGCUUUUAAGUUCUUCACAGGGUAUUAUUUGUGUUCCGAUUUCGUCAACAUUUUAAUGUUUGUAAACCAUUGUAUUCAUACACGAAGAGAGAGAGUGUGUCUCCUAACAAUCGGUGUAGACCCCUAGUGUACCAUGAUUUCCAGUGUUUGCAGCCAACUCUGCUAUAGUGUGAUGUAAUCGCAGUAGUAUUAUACAGUGUUACAGAAUGACUAUCUUGUUUUGCUUUGAAGAAUAACGACAGCAUUUCUUUUAAAGAAGUUGUGU
Long non-coding RNA from Lineus longissimus, 1527 nucleotides. RefSeq lists it as uncharacterized. The record is from RefSeq and is a predicted model, not a curated record. The transcript is spliced from 4 exons. Lineage: Eukaryota; Metazoa; Nemertea; Pilidiophora; Heteronemertea; Lineidae.